GACGAACCUUGCUAACGUUAUUCGGAAUUACUGGGCUUAAAGGGUGCGUAGGCGGUGCGGAAAGUUGGGUGUGAAAGCCCUCGGCUCAACCGAGGAAUUGCGCCCAAAACUGCCGCACUAGAGGAAGACAGAGGUACGCGGAACUCAGGGUGGAGCGGUGAAAUGCGUUGAUAUCCUAAGGAACACCGGUGGCGAAAGCGGCGUACUGGGUCUUAUCUGACGCUGAGGCACGAAAGCUAGGGGAGCGAACGGG
This 253-nucleotide ribosomal RNA is filed under the name uncultured bacterium. RNAcentral's name for it is "partial 16S ribosomal RNA". It matches the Rfam family "Bacterial small subunit ribosomal RNA", at positions 524 to 776 of the family's 1533-position model. The record is from RNAcentral.